AUGGCCUCGACCUGCUUCCGCGCCGCCGCCCGCGCCGCCACCGCGGCAUGCCGCUCGGCGGCCUCCCGCUCCAUGCCCUCCGUCGGCCGCUCCGCCGCCCGCCGCGCCCCGCUAAUCUCCAGGGUGCCGCUGGAGCUGGGGUGCUGCGCGGGAAUGUCGCUGCUGCCGCUGCACAGCGCGGUGGCCGCGGCGAGGCUGACUUCGCGGCUGAGCACGGCGUCCCGGAGCUCCUCCGCUCUCUCUCAGGGUAUCCUCUGUCGCACCUAUCCCGGACUUUAA
This 279-nucleotide ribosomal RNA is filed under the name Triticum aestivum (bread wheat). RNAcentral describes it as "partial small subunit ribosomal RNA". Lineage: Eukaryota; Viridiplantae; Streptophyta; Magnoliopsida; Poales; Poaceae. The record is from RNAcentral.